GGGGAUUUAGCUCAGUGGUAGAGUGCUUGCCUAGCAAGCACAAGGCCCUGGGUUCAGGCCCAGCUCCG
This 68-nucleotide transfer RNA is filed under the name Rattus norvegicus (Norway rat). It matches the Rfam family "tRNA". From Rfam's summary of the family: Transfer RNA (tRNA) molecules are approximately 80 nucleotides in length. The record is from Rfam by way of RNAcentral. Lineage: Eukaryota; Metazoa; Chordata; Mammalia; Rodentia; Muridae.